This 83-nucleotide transfer RNA is filed under the name Schistocephalus solidus. It matches the Rfam family "tRNA". Rfam says of the family: Transfer RNA (tRNA) molecules are approximately 80 nucleotides in length. Their secondary structure includes four short double-helical elements and three loops (D, anti-codon, and T loops). The record is from Rfam by way of RNAcentral. Lineage: Eukaryota; Metazoa; Platyhelminthes; Cestoda; Diphyllobothriidea; Diphyllobothriidae.
GGCCUCGUAGCUCAGUUGGUUAAAGCGUUGGCUGUACCAAAGCCUUCCUCGUGCUUGCGUGGGCUCUAAUCCCACCGAGGGUG